CCUACGGGAGGCAGCAGUGAGGAAUAUUGGUCAAUGGACGAGAGUCUGAACCAGCCAAGUAGCGUGAAGGAUGAAUGCCCUAUGGGUUGUAAACUUCUUUUAUAUGGGAAUAAAAUGUUCCACGUGUGGGAUUUUGUAUGUACCAUAUGAAUAAGGAUCGGCUAACUCCGUGCUAGCAGCCGCGGUAAUACGGAGGAUCCGAGCGUUAUCCGGAUUUAUUGGGUUUAAAGGGAGCGUAGGUGGAUUGUUAAGUCAGUUGUGAAAGCUUGCGGCUCAACCGUGAAAUUGCAGUUGAAACUGGGAGUCUUGAGUACAGUAGAGGUCGGCGGAAUUCGUGGUGUAGCGGUGAAAUGCUUAGAUAUCACGAAGAACUCCGAUUGCGAAGGCAGCUCACUGGACUGCAACUGACACUGAGGCUCGAAAGUGUGGGUAUCAAACAGGAUUAGAUACCCUGGUAGUC
RNAcentral lists this ribosomal RNA (460 nucleotides) under uncultured bacterium. Its description in RNAcentral is "partial 16S ribosomal RNA". It matches the Rfam family "Bacterial small subunit ribosomal RNA", at positions 338 to 795 of the family's 1533-position model. The record is from RNAcentral.